This 1063-nucleotide long non-coding RNA is filed under the name Cyanistes caeruleus (blue tit). Its description in RNAcentral is "lncRNA (ENSCCEG00000006033.1)". Lineage: Eukaryota; Metazoa; Chordata; Aves; Passeriformes; Paridae. The record is from RNAcentral.
CUGCUCUUCCAGGAGUGCUUUAAGCUCUCACAGUCCACAUGGACCAGCUGUUUGGCAGGGAUGUGAAGGGCCUUGUGGAAUGUGGCACACUUCAUGCAAAUCCCUGCUGCUUGGUAGUAUUAAAAAAGGCUGUUGCAAGACCUCAGAAGAGGAUGCAGUGAUUCCUGUGCCAUAACUUGUUGCAGUGGCUUGCCCCAGAGACCUUCCAGCACUGCUUGCAGCCGUGGGGAAUUGCACUUGAAAGAGGCUGCUAUCACAGCAGCCCAGGCUGACAGCAAGAACAAACCAGUGGCCUGCAGCAUGGUCCUUGCCCAGGAUCUCUGCCUGCCAACCAGCAAAAGGCUUGGAAUGCUGCUGUAAGAAUAUUGAAGUAGUCUCAUCUCUCUUUUUGAACUUGGCCCUUAUAUGUAACAGAGCUGUGUAUGGUACCCAGCAUUUGAGAGGAUAAUACAGGGCUUUAUCUCAAAUCUUUGAAAACUGCCUCCCUUGAAGUCUGAAAUGCUGUAUCUGAUAGUCGCCACUUCUUAGGAGGAGGGCUGCCCUGCUUCAUAUUAAAAAAGCAAAAUACAUGUGUUUAAUCCUGGACAUGGAUGUAAACCUGUCUAUUCCUUAUUUUGCAUCCUUCGAGUAUUAUUAUAAUCAGGCCAGUUUAUUAAGAAUUAAUGCCCCUUCGUGAACAGAGGAUAAUGGAAUGGCCACAUUUCCUCUUGUGCUGAACUGUGAUUUACUAAUAGGAGCUUCUAGGGAAAGGAUCAUAAAAGAGAGAGUCCCCCACCUCUGGAUUAAUAUUUAAUCAGGUGCUAAGAGAGCCUUGUGUUGGAUCCUAGAGUUGCUAGCAGAAACCUGCAGGGGAAAUGAGAGGGUCCUGCAUUUAAAGGGGAAAUGCAAUUAUAAUUAAAGGCUUGAUCCAAGGCCCUUGGACAUAAAUGAAAAGCUCCUGUUGAUUUGAAGACCUCUGGAUCUGGCCCAAAGGGAACCAAAAAUAAUGAAUGUUUUUGCAUGUGAGGCAUAGACAGGAGUACUUAUUUAUAUAAUUAUUUCAAAGAUAUCAGACAAGGUUAAC